GACGAACGCUGGCGGCGUGCCUAAUACAUGCAAGUCGAACGCACGAAGUUGAAGAGCUUGCUCUUUAACCAAGUGAGAGGCGGACGGGUGAGUAACACGUGGGUAACCUGCCCAUUAGAGGGGGAUAACAUUCGGAAACGGAUGCUAAUACCGCAUAGUUUCAGGGAUCGCAUGAUUCUUGAAGGAAAGGUGGCUUCGGCUACCACUAAUGGAUGGACCCGCGGCGUAUUAGCUAGUUGGUGAGGUAAUGGCUCACCAAGGCAAUGAUACGUAGCCGACCUGAGAGGGUGAUCGGCCACACUGGGACUGAGACACGGCCCAGACUCCUACGGGAGGCAGCAGUAGGGAAUCUUCCGCAAUGGACGAAAGUCUGACGGAGCAACGCCGCGUGAGUGAAGAAGGUUUUCGGAUCGUAAAACUCUGUUGUUAAAGAAGAACAAGGAUGAGAGUAACUGCUCAUCCCCUGACGGUAUUUAACCAGAAAGCCACGGCUAACUACGUGCCAGCAGCCGCGGUAAUACGUAGGUGGCAAGCGUUGUCCGGAUUUAUUGGGCGUAAAGCGAGCGCAGGCGGUUCUUUAAGUCUGAUGUGAAAGCCCCCGGCUCAACCGGGGAGGGUCAUUGGAAACUGGAGAACUUGAGUGCAGAAGAGGAGAGUGGAAUUCCACGUGUAGCGGUGGAAUGCGUAGAUAUGUGGAGGAACACCAGUGGCGAAGGCGACUCUCUGGUCUGUAACUGACGCUGAGGCUCGAAAGCGUGGGGAGCAAACAGG
This 771-nucleotide ribosomal RNA is filed under the name uncultured Vagococcus sp. Its description in RNAcentral is "bacterial SSU rRNA". It matches the Rfam family "Bacterial small subunit ribosomal RNA", at positions 28 to 776 of the family's 1533-position model. The record is from RNAcentral. Lineage: Bacteria; Bacillati; Bacillota; Bacilli; Lactobacillales; Enterococcaceae.